RNAcentral lists this ribosomal RNA (661 nucleotides) under uncultured Lachnospiraceae bacterium. Its description in RNAcentral is "bacterial SSU rRNA". It matches the Rfam family "Bacterial small subunit ribosomal RNA", at positions 66 to 740 of the family's 1533-position model. The record is from RNAcentral. Lineage: Bacteria; Bacillati; Bacillota; Clostridia; Lachnospirales; Lachnospiraceae.
ACGAUUGAAGCUGGAGCUUGCUCCGGCCGAUUUAGUGGCGGACGGGUGAGUAACGCGUGGGUAACCUGCCUCAUACAGGGGGAUAGCAGUUGGAAACGACUGGUAAAACCGCAUAAGCGCACGGUGUCGCAUGACACAGUGUGAAAACACUCCGGUGGUAUGAGAUGGACCCGCGUCUGAUUAGCUAGUUGGUGAGGUAACGGCCCACCAAGGCGACGAUCAGUAGCCGGCCUGAGAGGGUGAACGGCCACAUUGGGACUGAGACACGGCCCAAACUCCUACGGGAGGCAGCAGUGGGGAAUAUUGCACAAUGGGGGAAACCCUGAUGCAGCGACGCCGCGUGAGUGAUGAAGUAUUUCGGUAUGUAAAGCUCUAUCAGCAGGGAAGAUAAUGACGGUACCUGACUAAGAAGCACCGGCUAAAUACGUGCCAGCAGCCGCGGUAAUACGUAUGGUGCAAGCGUUAUCCGGAUUUACUGGGUGUAAAGGGUGCGUAGGUGGCAAGGCAAGUCUGAAGUGAAAAUCCGGGGCUCAACCCCGGAACUGCUUUGGAAACUGUUUAGCUGGAGUACAGGAGAGGUAAGUGGAAUUCCUAGUGUAGCGGUGAAAUGCGUAGAUAUUAGGAGGACACCAGUGGCGAAGGCGACUUACUGGACUGCUAC